GAUGAACGCUGGCGGCGUGCCUAAUACAUGCAAGUCGAGCGAACAGACGAGAAGCUUGCUUCUCUGAUGUUAGCGGCGGACGGGUGAGUAACACGUGGAUAACCUACCUAUAAGACUGGGAUAACUUCGGGAAACCGGAGCUAAUACCGGAUAAUAUAUUGAACCGCAUGGUUCAAUAGUGAAAGACGGUCUUGCUGUCACUUAUAGAUGGAUCCGCGCUGCAUUAGCUAGUUGGUAAGGUAACGGCUUACCAAGGCGACGAUGCGUAGCCGACCUGAGAGGGUGAUCGGCCACACUGGAACUGAGACACGGUCCAGACUCCUACGGGAGGCAGCAGUAGGGAAUCUUCCGCAAUGGGCGAAAGCCUGACGGAGCAACGCCGCGUGAGUGAUGAAGGUCUUCGGAUCGUAAAACUCUGUUAUUAGGGAAGAACAAAUGUGUAAGUAACUAUGCACAUCUUGACGGUACCUAAUCAGAAAGCCACGGCUAACUACGUG
RNAcentral lists this ribosomal RNA (497 nucleotides) under uncultured bacterium. RNAcentral's name for it is "partial 16S ribosomal RNA". It matches the Rfam family "Bacterial small subunit ribosomal RNA", at positions 28 to 507 of the family's 1533-position model. The record is from RNAcentral.